GGGACGAGUAUUAAGAAGAUUAUUUCAUUCUAUUAAUUAUUUAUUUUAAUGAUAAAUGUAGUUGAGCUACGUUGAGUAAUUUUAAUAAUACUAACCAAAGUUCAAUCAAUCUGCUAAGAUAAAAUUCUCAUGGUCGAGUGACCUUUUAGGAUAUUAACUCUCUAUUAUAGCAUCCGCCUGUCCUGUCAUUCAAUGAGCUGAUUUUCCGUGGCAAGCUUUUCACUAAAAAUUCUGUGUCUUGCUUCAAUGGCCUGUUUUUCCCAAUUGGUGAAGCCGGUGACAACGGAGAGUGAAAUAGAUUGCACAGUUGCUCCAGCCACCAAUCCACUCCAAAGACCCUUGCCGUUUAGAUGUAAGACAAAUCCAAGAAAUAGAGCCGCGGGAAUUCCAACCAAAUAAUAUGCUCCAAGGUUCACAUAGGCUCCAAUAUGCUGCCACCCGCUUCCUCUAGCAACUCCUGAUAGUACAGCUUGGGUGCCGUCCAUGAUAAUUGAUAUGCAAAGAACAGGAGUAAUUUCUGCAACAUAAGUGGCCACUUCUUUCUCAUAAGUAAACGUAUAGCCCCAUACAUUACGGACCACAAAUAGAGUUAUACUUGCAAGAACAACCUCAGUGGCAGAAAGAACUAACACAGCAACGAGAGCAAUUUUCGCCGCCUGUGGCCUCCCAGCUCCAAGCUCAUUUGAAACCCGAGUACUUGCUGCAGCACCGAAAGAAUAAGGUAUAUGGUAGUGCACAGAAGUGGUUGUAAAGCAUAUGGAAAGUACAGAAGUUUCUAGCAUCGGAUUUGGCAACAGACCAGAGCUUAGAAUGAUAAGCUCAAAUGACCACCAUUCCAAGCAAACCAUUACAGCAGAUGGGAUGGCAAGGCGGAAGAAGUCCCCUAAAGUCAGGAAAACAUCCGUAGAGAAUGAAGCUCGAGUCUUUUCACAAGCCGAUGAGUACUUCACAUAAAGCAUAAGCAAGAUCACAUUCAACCAAUAGGAUAAACCAAUUGACAAUGCUGCUCCCACAAUCCCUAAAUUCAAUUUGAAUAUAAAAGCCCAACAAAUUGCCACUUGGAAGCAUAAAGAUGCAACUGCAUUUAUAAGCAUUGGUAGGAUUAAACUCUGUGCCUGCAGAUACCGGACAACUGACUGAAGAAUAGCAUAUGGAAAUAGUGUAGGAAUGAGCCAAAUUGCGUAUUUUCCAGCUUCCUUUGCAAUUGAAGGAUCUUGGCCCAUCAAUAUAAGAAGUUUAUCCGUGAAAAUCCACAGAACAGAGACUGGUAUGCAUACCAGAAACAGACAAAUAAUAGCACUAUAAGUAAAAGUUCCAAGUUUUCGAUAUUGUCCUGCUCCAUAGGCCUGCCCACAUAGAGUCUCCAGUGCACUAGACAUUCCAAAAAGGACACUGUAACCGGUAACAUUGCAAAGUGAGGUAGCAAUAGAAGCACUAGAAAGUGAAAGUUCACCAAGGUGACCUAACAUAAUCAUUGGCGAAACGCGCAAAAGGUACUGUGAUACUGUCACCACUAUCAUAGGCAAAGCUAUUCGACUCGCCUCUUUCAACUCUUCAAUAAACACUUUGCGGCUCACCCUCACAUCGUCUUCCUCCAAAUUAAGCAGCAGCGGCUCUUCCAUCGCCAUAAUUUUUUACUUAUUUUCCCAACUCAGAAGCAACC
This 1663-nucleotide unclassified non-coding RNA is filed under the name Hevea brasiliensis (rubber tree). Lineage: Eukaryota; Viridiplantae; Streptophyta; Magnoliopsida; Malpighiales; Euphorbiaceae. The record is from RNAcentral.